CCUACGGGAGGCAGCAGUGGGGAAUAUUGCACAAUGGGGGAAACCCUGAUGCAGCGACGCCGCGUGAGUGAAGAAGUAACUCGUUAUGUAAAGCUCUAUCAGCAGGGAAGAAAAUGACGGUACCUGAGUCAGAAGCCCCGGCUAACUACGUGCCAGCAGCCGCGGUAAUACGUAGGGGGCAAGCGUUAUCCGGAUUUAUUGGGUGUAAAGGGAGCGUAGACGGCAGUGCAAGUCUGGAGUGAAAGGCGGGGGCUCAACCCCCGGACUGCUCUGGAAACUGUACGGCUGGAGUGCAGGAGAGGUAAGUGGAAUGCCUAGUGUAGCGGUGAAAUGCGUAGAUAUUAGGAGGAACACCAGUGGCGAAGGUAGCUUACUGGACUGCAACUGACGUUGAGGCUCGAAAGCGUGGGGAGCAAACAGGAUUAGAUACCCGAGUAGUC
Molecule: ribosomal RNA, 440 nt
Filed under: uncultured bacterium
Lineage: Bacteria
Description: partial 16S ribosomal RNA
Rfam family: Bacterial small subunit ribosomal RNA
Source: RNAcentral